Molecule: long non-coding RNA, 548 nt
Organism: Argiope bruennichi
Lineage: Eukaryota; Metazoa; Arthropoda; Arachnida; Araneae; Araneidae
Exons: 3
Source: RefSeq, a predicted model, not a curated record
AGUAACGUGAGAGUAAAAUUUCCUCCAAUAUUGUACGUUAAGCAACACGCAUAGUAAAGGUUAUAGACAGAAAACCCAAAUGGCAUUCUAGAAAGUUUUAAAGUGUCAUUCAUUGCUAAGUCAUUGGUAUCUACAAAAUUGGCAAAAUGAAUAGAAAGAUUCAAAAGAUGUUAGAACUGAGUAAUUGUUUGCAGACAAUCAAUGGCGCCAUGAUUUGGAGAUGCACAUAUUGACAGAGCUCUGAAAUUUAUGUGUGUGUGAAUGACAAUUACAUUUUAGUAACUAAUAUUUUUCUAAAUGAAGAUGCUUUCUUUUUCUUGAUAGUUAUUUGAUACAAUUUAUUAGAUUUUAUACUUUAAAUGCUUAAUAAUAUUUGUGAUCAUAAAUAACAGCAAUUAGUAAUUAUGUAAUAUCUUAGUAGUAAUGAACCAUACAAAGGUAUAAAUGGAUAUCAAGGAACAUAUCUGAAGCAAACCUCUCAUAAAUUUGAAUUUUUUGAUUUUAUUAUCUGGGUUGAGAGAAUAAAGCUGGAAUCUAAAUAAAAUUAA